This 495-nucleotide ribosomal RNA is filed under the name uncultured bacterium. Its description in RNAcentral is "partial 16S ribosomal RNA". It matches the Rfam family "Bacterial small subunit ribosomal RNA", at positions 29 to 506 of the family's 1533-position model. The record is from RNAcentral.
AUGAACGCUGGCGGCGUGCCUAAUACAUGCAAGUCGAGCGAACAGAUGAGGAGCUUGCUCCUCUGACGUUAGCGGCGGACGGGUGAGUAACACGUGGAUAACCUACCUAUAAGACUGGGAUAACUUCGGGAAACCGGAGCUAAUACCGGAUAAUAUAUUGAACCGCAUGGUUCAAUAGUGAAAGACGGUUUUGCUGUCACUUAUAGAUGGAUCCGCGCCGCAUUAGCUAGUUGGUAAGGUAACGGCUUACCAAGGCAACGAUGCGUAGCCGACCUGAGAGGGUGAUCGGCCACACUGGAACUGAGACACGGUCCAGACUCCUACGGGAGGCAGCAGUAGGGAAUCUUCCGCAAUGGGCGAAAGCCUGACGGAGCAACGCCGCGUGAGUGAUGAAGGUCUUCGGAUCGUAAAACGCUGUUAUUAGGGAAGAACAAAUGUGUAAGUAACUAUGCACGUCUUGACGGUACCUAAUCAGAAAGCCACGGCUAACUACGU